GACGUAGGGGACGAGCGUUGUCCGGAUUCAUUGGGCGUAAAGCGCGCGUAGGCGGUUACGCAAGUCGGUUGUGAAAAUCCGGGGCUCAACCCCGGACCUGCAUCCGAUACUGCGUGACUAGAGGUAGGUAGGGGAGAUCGGAAUUCCUGGUGUAGCGGUGAAAUGCGCAGAUAUCAGGAGGAACACCGGUGGCGAAGGCGGGUAGCUGGGCCAACACUGACGCUAAAGUGCGAAAGCUAGGGGAGCGAACAGG
Molecule: ribosomal RNA, 253 nt
Filed under: uncultured bacterium
Lineage: Bacteria
Description: partial 16S ribosomal RNA
Rfam family: Bacterial small subunit ribosomal RNA
Source: RNAcentral